UAACAGGUGUCUUGCCUCCGGAACGUUAAACUUACGACACACGAUGCUAGAUUAAAAAGGAUUAUUCUGGAGAUAACGCGUAACUAUAGCAGCAGACCAACUAUCGUCAGAUUGUGACAUUGUAUCUACCAUAUAACGGCAAAGAAGAAAUGUUCACAAUACUACAUACAUUUGUAUUCCUAUUUUAUCAUGUUAUACAUUGUAUUGAAUGUACACGACAAACAUUUUGUUUUCAUAACGUUCCGAUGUUGUAGAAAUGAAUAAAUCUUUAGCCCUUACUUUAUUGAAGAUCAUGUACAAAUACAAUAUAAGAACACGAACAGAAUGGUAUUAA
Molecule: long non-coding RNA, 334 nt
Organism: Xenia sp. Carnegie-2017
Lineage: Eukaryota; Metazoa; Cnidaria; Anthozoa; Malacalcyonacea; Xeniidae
Exons: 2
Source: RefSeq, a predicted model, not a curated record